This is a small nuclear RNA of Octopus sinensis (East Asian common octopus), 109 nucleotides long. The record is from RefSeq and is a predicted model, not a curated record. Lineage: Eukaryota; Metazoa; Mollusca; Cephalopoda; Octopoda; Octopodidae.
UCUAGCUUCGGCUGUACAUAUACAAAAAAAUUGGAACGAUACGGAGAAGAUUAGUAUGGCCCUCUGCACAAGGAUGACACGCAAAUUAAGAUCAAGUGAUACUCUCUCU